UACAGAACAGAAGACUUCUGCAAACACAAUUUGACACUUCCUAUUGAUUGAAGUAAUGGAGCAGCAAAUUCUACCAACUUGCAUAAAAGCACCUUUGGUCUGCAUUAAAAUCCCUGUAGAAGAUCCAGUGAUGUCAGUGCCGUGCUGUUCACCUGUGUGUUCUCACUCCAGAUGUCAGAAGCUGAAGCUGUGACUCCAGGAGCCGAGGCAGAGCCUGUUGCUCCUGCAGCAGGAGUGUCCCUUGGUGCUGUGCAGGUGAGCCUGGCUCAGGAGCAAGGUGCUGCUCCCUGCUGUGUCAGGAGCUGCCUGCAGGAGCUCAUCUCCCCCUGCAUCCCCUCACACCAGAUGGAAGUGUUCAACAAGCCUGCCUUCUCAGUACUGUGCAAGCUGCUGCAGAAUCUGUUUAAGCACUGCUGCUGUUUAUGAGAACACAGGUGUAGGGAGUGGAAAGUGCAGUCCUUGGGCACAUGAAACGUGACUUUGAGGGAAAAAAAUUCUGUCAGAUUCACAAGGAAAACAGACUUGAAAGUAAAGCAAAUAUUUUUUCACACUUGUUUAAGUUUUAUCACUCAGCUGUGCUAUUUCUAGUAGUUGUAGACAUAACAUUUUGCAGGAAGAAUUUUGACAGAUCUAUUCAGCUGGCAGCACUGAGUUUCCCUGUGCUGAUACCACAUCUUGCCAGCAGUGCUGUCCUGUGGUGAGAACUGUGCUCAGUCACCUACAAGACAACUGGCUGCCCUCAUGAUGCAUUUCCAUUUUCUGGAGCCAGAGAUAGGAUGUGCCCAACUAGACCAGGAGUUCAAACAACCCAACACGUCCAUUCUUGUUUGGUGAAAAUGUGGUUUGUGUUCUUGGAGCAAAGCAAUUACAGCCUCUGCAUGGUCACAGGUUCUGCUAAUUACUGGUAAGACUGUUGAGCAUCAAAAACCCCACAACAAACAAAGCAAAGCAAAGCAAACCAGCCGAGGAUACUCAGCCUAGCAAGUGUCCUGCCUCACUCCCAGUUUUGCUGCUUUUAGCCCCGGGCUAAGGGUACUGCUGAGACAAGAGUGAUUCACCCCUGGAGCUCCAGCCAAGCCAAGGCUUUAGCUCCCUGCUGACCCAUGAUCUGUGCCUCCUUUCUGUCCUUUCUGUCCUGGAGCAGAGCCUGAGGUGCUCUGCCCUCGCAUUCAACAGCCCAGAGCCCGCGAGGGAAACUGGGGACAGACUCAGGGUCCACGUGCUCCAGUUUCCAGGGAAUCCGUGGCCAGGGGAGCACUGGCCCGUGGUGUGGUAUGGCACCAGCUUGCAGGUGGCUUUGCUUCUAAGCUUAAAGGCUUGGGGAGAUCAACAAUUUUCCUGUUAAGGAGAAAUCUGCGACACCUACUUGAGCAAACCCUUCAACAUGAACUUAGGCAGGACUGUGUCUAUCCAGCUUGGGAGAUGCAGAGUCCUUCAGUGGCUGUUGUUUUCUACAUUUCUUUGAGAAUUUUGUGUGUGUGUUUUCUGCAGAAAGACAGAAAAAUCACUGAAGGAAUUACUCUUUUUUUUAUUCUUUUAAUUUGCUCCUAAGGAAAUUGAAAGGGAGGAAAUCUCACCAGGAGGAACACCCACGUGCAGGUACCAAAUGCCUGCAUGCACCUACAUUCAAAGGAUGCAAAGAGGCUGAAUUUAAAAUGUGCUACAGAACAAAGUAGGGCCAGCUGGAGGAUUUCCUGCUGGAGAAAGGAAAAGCCUGUGGAGGCAGUGGGUCGGAAUGCUGAGCAGUGACACAUUCCUCAUGGCUGUAAAUAGUGUGUUUGGGAGGAGGGGACAGGGAAUAUCUUGGUUUGGUUAUUUGCAUGAGUGGACUCUUCCAGUUAAUGAUUUCCUUUUUCAUUUAGCAUUCAAAAUGUUUGCGAGGUUUUGUAUAUGUAUAUAAAUAUAUACAUAUACAUAAAAUACAUACAGAAAAUAUAUACAUAUACAUAUACAUAUACAUAUACAUAUACAUAUACAUAUACAUAUACAUAUACAUAUACAUAUACAUAUACAUAUACAUAUACAUAUACAUAUACA
Molecule: long non-coding RNA, 2037 nt
Organism: Ficedula albicollis (Collared flycatcher)
Lineage: Eukaryota; Metazoa; Chordata; Aves; Passeriformes; Muscicapidae
Source: Ensembl